UACGUAGGGCGCAAGCGUUGUCCGGAAUUAUUGGGCGUAAAGAGCUCGUAGGCGGCUUGUCGCGUCGGUUGUGAAAGCCCGGGGCUUAACCCCGGGUCUGCAGUCGAUACGGGCAGGCUAGAGCUCGGUAGGGGAGAUCGGAAUUCCUGGUGUAGCGGUGAAAUGCGCAGAUAUCAGGAGGAACACCGGUGGCGAAGGCGGAUCUCUGGGCCGAUACUGACGCUGAGGAGCGAAAGCGUGGGGAGCGAACAGG
This 253-nucleotide ribosomal RNA is filed under the name uncultured bacterium. Its description in RNAcentral is "partial 16S ribosomal RNA". It matches the Rfam family "Bacterial small subunit ribosomal RNA", at positions 524 to 776 of the family's 1533-position model. The record is from RNAcentral.